Molecule: long non-coding RNA, 1428 nt
Organism: Penaeus chinensis
Lineage: Eukaryota; Metazoa; Arthropoda; Malacostraca; Decapoda; Penaeidae
Exons: 2
Source: RefSeq, a predicted model, not a curated record
AAUGCGAAUAUGUAUCAAUACGACAAAGAAAAAGGAAUAUAAGAAAAGAGAAUUUAAAUCAGUCACGAAUUAGAUUAAUUAUUUAUGCUAUAUUUCAAGUACUUUCACUCAAUGGGAGUGUGUGGGUGUGUGCGUGUGUGGGUGCGUGGCUUACAUUUAUAGUUAAUUCUGAAAAAAAAAGUAAUAUUAAAGGGAAAAAAUCCAUAUCUUGUAUAUUGGAACUGAUCAUUCCAGUUCGUAUCCGGUUUACAUACAAGGUAAACUGAAAAUCCUUUUUAGAAUACCGAACGAUUAUUGACAUUCAUGUUUAACAAUGAAAAAAUAAAAACCACAGUGAAUUCAAUUGGUUUUGAUAACAAACGCUAUCUCAGUCAUUUCCUAAGUGUUGAAAAAAUAAUCUUACGUUACGUGAUAUGAUUUCUGAAGCGAGUAACAAGUCCAUUUUGUAACUGAACAUAAAGCAUAAUUACACGAGAACCUUGUGGACAAUAUAACCGUUAUUUGAGAGUACAUCAAAUUUCCUCAUACCUUUAAGAUUUUAAAAGUUACUAUUUUUUCUUUUCUUUUCUUUUACGUACUUAAGAAAUUGUGAUUAUUCGAAUACACAAAGAGGUUUCAUGAAGACAAGACUGGAAUGGACAUAUGUAGGUGUAGAGUGUGUACAUUGUGUGUUAUGUAUGCAUGCGUGUGUGAAUGGGAUGGAAAAGAGGGAGGGAGGGAGGCAGAGAGAGAAAGAAGGAAGAAAGUAAGGAAGAAAGGAAGGAGGGGAGAGAGAGAUAGAGAAAGAGAGAGAGAGAGAGAGAGAGAGAGAGAGAGAGUGAGAGAGUUUGUCUUAAUAAAAUCAUUAAAUAAAGGAAUUAAAUAUUUUUUCUCUACACAGCAGCAACAUGACAUAAUGACAAACAACAAAGGAAAAGAAAAACAAUAUCCAUUUAGUAAAUUAUGUCCUUUUAAUAUAAAAUUCACAUCGACUUGUUCCAAAUAUAUAAUACGCGAUGCCACUAACACACAAGACAUUAAAAAAAAAAAAAAUCUUUAGCAUAUCUUGAAAAGUAUCUUAAUGAACUCUUAACUGAUCCUACGCCCCAUGCAAAAAUAAAAUCGUUGAGCCCCAGGACCUCGAAAUCCUUCAUCCAGGAACCCUAGCACUUUACGAGUGUUUGUAGGAUUCCCUUCAUUGAUGACGUCCUGAAGAGCCCUUUUUGCACGGGAGAGGGAUCAGCUGUUUGGAGUACGGCAGUUGGGGUGGUUUCCCGUUUUCUAUGUCUCCGUCUUCCGUUUUCUGUGUCUACGCUUUCCGAUUUCCAUUUCGCCGUUUCCCGUUUUCUUAUUUUGCCGUUUCUCGUUUACUAUGUCUCCGUCUUCCGUUUUCUGUUUUCUACGCUUUUCGUUUUCCAUUUCGCCGUUUCCCGUUUUCUUACUUUGCCG